UGCGUAGGUGGUCGGGUCAGUCUGAUGUGAAAUCUCCGAGCCUAACUCGGAAACUGCAUUGGAUACUACUUGGCUGGAGGGUUGGAGGGGGGACUGGAAUUCUCGGUGUAGCAGUGAAAUGCGUAGAUAUCGAGAGGAACACCAGUGGCGAAGGCGAGUCCCUGGACAACUCCUGACACUGAGGCACGAAAGGCUAGGGGAGGCAAAUA
This 209-nucleotide ribosomal RNA is filed under the name uncultured bacterium. RNAcentral's name for it is "partial 16S ribosomal RNA". It matches the Rfam family "Bacterial small subunit ribosomal RNA", at positions 568 to 774 of the family's 1533-position model. The record is from RNAcentral.